Molecule: small RNA, 111 nt
Filed under: Christensenella minuta
Lineage: Bacteria; Bacillati; Bacillota; Clostridia; Christensenellales; Christensenellaceae
Description: STnc490 Hfq binding RNA
Rfam family: STnc490 Hfq binding RNA
Source: Rfam by way of RNAcentral
AACCCCGCGCUAUGCGUGGGGUUCCGUAAAGCUUAUAGCUAUGGUAAGAGAAACCCUCCGUUUGUUAAAAUAAACUUGCGGCCUGACAACUGCAAGGAAACAAACAGAGGG